Molecule: non-coding RNA, 1029 nt
Organism: Camellia sinensis
Lineage: Eukaryota; Viridiplantae; Streptophyta; Magnoliopsida; Ericales; Theaceae
Source: RefSeq, a predicted model, not a curated record
AUCUUCAUCUUCAGCUCGAUGAUUCAUCUUCAUCUCAGUGAUUUAUCAUAGAGUGAUUUCGAUUUUGAAGUUCUCUCUCCCUCUCUCUCUCCCCCUCGAUUUCGAAGCUCCACCGCCAUCACCAUCUGCAUCGACGAGGACAGCAUGGACAUUAGCCUACUAAAGUGAGCACCAUUGUCUACAAUCUCAGAGACAAAAAAAGAACAAUGGGGUUCUUGCUAGUCGAUCACAGGUGUAGAUGGCUGUAUACAUAAAAGAUAGGACGUCAAAUGGUGAUUCAGUUGAUGUGGUUAUGGUAUGUGAUACUACUUUGUUAGACUUUUAAAAUGAUUCAUAUUGGAGGCCAAUUAUUGAAUUCAAAACUCGAGUUAUGGACUUGGAGGACGUUUGGAUUGGGACUGUCCCUCAUUGAUGUUUUUGGAGGUUGAUAUAGGUAGUCACAAGAGCAUAAUCGUAUAUUCCAAACUUGAGUUCAAGAACAAGUUGAAGAGAAACUUCAAUGGCAUCAAAUGCAGUUAGAGUCGAAAAUGAAUGACAUAAUGGAGAACCAAAUUCAGGCUAUACGCACAGAUUUUCAGUCACGAAUUGAGGUUUUGGAAUCUCAAUUGCAAGCUGCGGGCGUGCCCAUUGUACCAACAGUUGCACCCUUAAACCCAUUACAUAGGCUAUACGUAUUUCAACUAUUUCUACUAGUUAUUACUUUAAAUUGCCUAGAGCUACUGUAUAACUUAAGUCUUUUAUUGAAUGAUAGGUUGUGGAUUCACUUAGUAGUCAUCCUACUAUUAGGCCAAUGCCACAUUAACAACAAUCUUAUAUAUUUUCAUCCUAAGAGGCAUUUAGACCAGUGAAAACUACAGCUAUAUGAGCUUCUAUUGCUAAAACAUGAUUUAUGGAUAUGUUAUUUUGUGGUUAAUGUUAAAACAUGAUUUGUGGAUAUAUUAUUUUGUGGUUAAUGGUGGUUGAAUAUUAAAUUGAAUGUGAAAGUGAAUUAAUGCUGCAUUUGCUAUUUGAAUGGGAGUUAUUGUUUCA